ACGGAAGGCAGCAGUGGGGGAUAUUGCACAAUGGGGGAAACCCUGAUGCAGCGACGCCGCGUGAGCGAAGAAGUUAUUCGUAAUGUAAAGCUCUAUCAGCAGGGAAGAAAAUGACGGUACCUGACUAAGAAGCUCCGGCUAAAUACGUGCCAGCAGCCGCGGUAAUACGUAGGGGGCGAGCGUUGUCCGGAAUGAUUGGGCGUAAAGGGCGCGUAGGCGGCCCGGUAAGUCUGAAGUGAAAGUCCUGGCUUCAAGUUGGGAAUUGCUUUGGAUACUGUCGGGCUUGAGUGCAGGAGAGGUUAGUGGAAUUCCCAGUGUAGCGGUGAAAUGCGUAGAGAUUGGGAGGAACACCAGUGGCGAAGGCGACUAACUGGACUGUAACUGACGCUGAGGCGCGAAAGUGUGGGGAGCAAACAGGAUUAGAUACCCUGGUA
This 434-nucleotide ribosomal RNA is filed under the name uncultured bacterium. RNAcentral describes it as "partial 16S ribosomal RNA". It matches the Rfam family "Bacterial small subunit ribosomal RNA", at positions 341 to 792 of the family's 1533-position model. The record is from RNAcentral.